RNAcentral lists this ribosomal RNA (586 nucleotides) under uncultured bacterium. Its description in RNAcentral is "bacterial SSU rRNA". It matches the Rfam family "Bacterial small subunit ribosomal RNA", at positions 338 to 916 of the family's 1533-position model. The record is from RNAcentral.
CCUACGGGAGGCAGCAGUAGGGAAUCUUCCGCAAUGGACGAAAGUCUGACGGAGCAACGCCGCGUGAACGAUGAAGGCCUUCGGGUCGUAAAGUUCUGUUGUUAGGGAAGAACAAGUGCUAGUUGAAUAAGCUGGCACCUUGACGGUACCUAACCAGAAAGCCACGGCUAACUACGUGCCAGCAGCCGCGGUAAUACGUAGGUGGCAAGCGUUGUCCGGAAUUAUUGGGCGUAAAGCGCGCGCAGGCGGUUUCUUAAGUCUGAUGUGAAAGCCCCCGGCUCAACCGGGGAGGGUCAUUGGAAACUGGGAAACUUGAGUGCAGAAGAGGAAAGUGGAAUUCCAAGUGUAGCGGUGAAAUGCGUAGAGAUUUGGAGGAACACCAGUGGCGAAGGCGACUUUCUGGUCUGUAACUGACGCUGAGGCGCGAAAGCGUGGGGAGCAAACAGGAUUAGAUACCCUGGUAGUCCACGCUGUAAACGAUGAGUGCUAAGUGUUAGAGGGUUUCCGCCCUUUAGUGCUGAAGUUAACGCAUUAAGCACUCCGCCUGGGGAGUACGGUCGCAAGCUGAAACUUAAUGAAUUGACGG